Molecule: microRNA precursor, 105 nt
Filed under: Marmota monax (woodchuck)
Lineage: Eukaryota; Metazoa; Chordata; Mammalia; Rodentia; Sciuridae
Source: RNAcentral
AAAAGCAAGGUUUAUGAAGCUUGUUAAACUGCAGAUUUUGAUUCAGUGGAUCUGGGGUAGAACCUGAUAUUCUGUACUUUUAAUAAGUUUCCAGGUGAUGCCCAA